Molecule: transfer RNA, 61 nt
Filed under: Pseudobiotus spinifer
Lineage: Eukaryota; Metazoa; Tardigrada; Eutardigrada; Parachela; Doryphoribiidae
Description: tRNA-Ile
Source: RNAcentral
AACAAAGUGCCUGAAAAAGGGAUAUCUUGAUAGGGUAUAUUAUGAUUUAUUUCCUUUGUUA